UCGACCUGCAGCUGCAGCUGCCAGCCUACCCUACAGCCACAGCAAUGCAGGAUCUGAGCUGUGUGCGAGACCUACACCACAGCUCACGACAGCGCUGGAUCCCAAUCCAUUGAACAAGGCCAGGGAUCAAAACUGCAUCCUCAUGGAUACUAGUUGGAUUCUUAUCAUAUGGAAGUUCCUGGCUAGGGGUCGAAUUGGAGCUGCAGCUGCCAGCCUACGCCAUCGCGGCGCGGGAUCCGAGCCGUGUCUGCGACCCACACCGCAGCUCAUGGCAAAGCCGGAUCCUUAACCCACUGAGCAAGGCCAGGAACCCACAACCUCAUGGUUCCUAGUUGGAUUCGUUAACCACUGCACCACGACCGGAACGCCAUAGUUUGAUUCUUAACCUGCUGAGCAAUGAUAGGAACUCCAUGGAGCAAAUUCUUAAAAUACUGUUCCUGUCCCAAGGCAGCCAGCACCUCUGCUUCUGGGCAGAUCAAUUCCCUUUCUCAACACAGGCUGAGAAACUGUUUCAGAAAAAAAAAAGCUUCUAAAAAACGCUUGACAAAACUGGACCCUAGGUCAACAGGGAAAAGGAGACAUUAGUGGCACAACUGACAAAUCUGAAUAUACAUAAUUGUUAUGGGCUGAAUCAGGUCCCACCCCCAAAUUCAUAGGUAGAAGUCCUAAGCCCUGGUACCUCAGAAUGCAAUUUUUUUUUCUUCUUCUGCUUUUUAGGGCCACAUCUGUGUCAUACGAUUCCAAGCCUAGGGGUUGAAUCGGAGCUGCAGCUGCUGAUCUACAUCACAGCCACAGCAACACCAGAUCCUUAACCUGCUGAGCGAGGCCAGGGGUCGAACCCGCAUCCUCAUGGAUACAAGCUGGAUUUGUUACUUCUGAGCCACAGUGGGAACUCCCAGAAUGUAAUUAACAGAAAAGAAGGUGCUCAAAGAGGUGCUUCUGUUCAAUGAGGUCUUUAGGGGGGGCCUUGAGCCAACCUGACUGCUGUCCUCAUAAGAGGAAGACAUUUAGAUAUGCAAGGCGCCACCAAGGAUGCACACAGAGAAAAGAGCCUGGGAGGACACAGCAAGAAGGUCACUGUCUGAGAGGCUUCAGAGGAAACCAAAGCUGCUGACGUCGUGAUCGUGGACCUCCAGGCUCCAAAACCAUGAGAAAAUAAGUUUCUGUUGUCUAAGCCAUCCUGUCUGUGGUACUUUGUUGUGGUGGCCCUGGGACAUAUAUGGUAUUACAUCGACCUUAAAGGGUCUAAGGAGGAAAACCACUUUCUGGAGCUCCUGCUGUGGUGCAGUGGGUUAAGGAUCUGGGGUGGCUGCAGCUGUAGCGUAGGCUGCAGCUGUGGCUGGGAUCUGAUCCCCAGCUCGGGAACUUCC
Molecule: long non-coding RNA, 1370 nt
Filed under: Sus scrofa (pig)
Lineage: Eukaryota; Metazoa; Chordata; Mammalia; Artiodactyla; Suidae
Description: lncRNA (ENSSSCG00005004485.1)
Source: RNAcentral